AUUGGCCAACCCUGACGAAGCAAUGCCGCGUGAAUGAAGAAGGCCUUCGGGUUGUAAAGUUCUUUCGUGGAGGACGAAAAGGUGGGUGCUAAUAUCGCCUGCUGUUGACGUGAAUCCAAGAAGAAGCACCGGCUAACUCCGUGCCAGCAGCCGCGGUAAUACGGGGGGUGCAAGCGUUAAUCGGUAUCACUGGGCGUAAAGGGUGCGUAGGCGGUGCAUUAGGUCUGUCGUGAAAUCCCCGGGCUCAACCUGGGGAUGGCGGUGGAAACCGGUGUACUAGAGUAUGGGAGAGGGUGGUGGAAUUCCAGGUGUAGCGGUGAAAUGCGUAGAGAUCUGGAGGAACAUCAGUGGCGAAGGCGGCCACCUGGCCCAAUACUGACGCUGAGGCACGAAAGCGUGGGGAGCAAACAGGAUUAGAUACCCUGGUAGUCCACGCCCUAAACGAUGAAUACUAGAUGUUUGGUGCCAAGCGUACUGAGUGUCGUAGCUAACGCGAUAAGUAUUCCGCCUGGGAAGUACGGCCGCAAGGUUAAAACUCA
RNAcentral lists this ribosomal RNA (539 nucleotides) under uncultured Acidithiobacillus sp. RNAcentral's name for it is "bacterial SSU rRNA". It matches the Rfam family "Bacterial small subunit ribosomal RNA", at positions 371 to 903 of the family's 1533-position model. Lineage: Bacteria; Pseudomonadati; Pseudomonadota; Acidithiobacillia; Acidithiobacillales; Acidithiobacillaceae. The record is from RNAcentral.